GAUCUGCUGGGGUUGUAAACUUUGCUUCAUUUUUAAAAGACUUGUCCAAUAUGUGCAUUAUUAUUAUUAUUUACAGUGAGGGCAUAAGAUAUGGGGGAAAGUUAGAAGUAGAUGCCAAAAAGUAAUUUGGCGGAGAAUUCUGUGAGUAGUAAGUAUGAUUAAGGGGUGGCGGGAGGUUUUGUGCAAACAGGUCAGGGAGUUCAUGAACCUGGUGAGCUUGCUCUUCAAGAGGUGGAAGCCACGCGGGUGAUCUUCAUGCCUCAGACAGGACCCCAAACCUCUUCAGGAAAUAAUUUUGCUUCUGAUUGUCUUCCUCCAUCAGGUAAGUAGGUUCUGGAAAGUACACUGUAGUUUUUUAUAUACUUCUUACACACAGGGACCUUCAACACUCCC
This 393-nucleotide long non-coding RNA is filed under the name Bos taurus (domestic cattle). RNAcentral describes it as "long non-coding RNA NONBTAT004276". Lineage: Eukaryota; Metazoa; Chordata; Mammalia; Artiodactyla; Bovidae. The record is from RNAcentral.